GUCAGAGAUGCUCCCAUUGCCAACAUCAAUGUUCAUCAUAAGGGAACCUGUUAACUCCAGUGGAAGCUCUGUGUGAUUUUUGUUUACAGGUUUCUUCAGCUCAUUUUUGGUAGAAACAGGGCUUAUUCUCAAGCCCAAAUGAGUCGUUACAGAAGUCACAAAUGAAGGAGAUACUCGACUGCCAUCGGCCAUGCUUGAAUUAGAAAAACU
RNAcentral lists this unclassified non-coding RNA (210 nucleotides) under Hevea brasiliensis (rubber tree). The record is from RNAcentral. Lineage: Eukaryota; Viridiplantae; Streptophyta; Magnoliopsida; Malpighiales; Euphorbiaceae.